This 292-nucleotide ribosomal RNA is filed under the name uncultured bacterium. RNAcentral describes it as "partial 16S ribosomal RNA". It matches the Rfam family "Bacterial small subunit ribosomal RNA", at positions 505 to 796 of the family's 1533-position model. The record is from RNAcentral.
UUUCCAGCAGCCGCGGUAAUACGUAGGUGGCAAGCGUUGUCCGGAUUUACUGGGCGUAAAGGGCGUGCAGGCGGUUCGUUUAGUUCAGGGUGAAAGCUCCCGGCUUAACUGGGAGAGGUCUCUGGAUACUGGCGGACUUGAGGGGGGUAGAGGAGAGUGGAAUUCCCGGUGUAGUGGUGAUAUGCGUAGAUAUCGGGAGGAACACCAGUGGCGAAGGCGGCUCUCUGGGCCCUACCUGACGCUGAGACGCGAAAGCGUGGGGAGCGAACCGGAUUAGAAACCCUAGUAGUCC